This 1172-nucleotide ribosomal RNA is filed under the name uncultured organism. Its description in RNAcentral is "bacterial SSU rRNA". It matches the Rfam family "Bacterial small subunit ribosomal RNA", at positions 208 to 1365 of the family's 1533-position model. The record is from RNAcentral.
CUCUUCUAUGCUGCCGGGUUGGGAUCGGCCCGCGUCCCAUUAGCUAGUUGGUGAGGUAACGGCUCACCAAGGCCACGAUGGGUAGCCGGCCUGAGAGGGUGUACGGCCACACUGGCACUGAGACAAGGGCCAGUCCCCUAUGGGAGGCGCAGGCGGGAAUAGUUCACAAUGGGCGAAAGCCUGAUGACGCGACGCCGCGUGAGCGAAGAAGACCUUCGGGUUGUAAAGCUCUGUCAGGAGGGAAGAAGGCUCUACGGGUCAAUAGCCCGUGGGAUUGACGGUACCUCCAGAGGAAGCCCCGGCUAAAUACGUGCCAGCAGCCGCGGUAAUACGUAUGGGGCAAGCGUUGUCCGGAUUUACUGGGCGUAAAGGGCGCGUAGGCGGUUUGUUAAGUCGAAGGUGAAAUCCUCGGGCUCAACUCGAGAAUUGCCUUCGAUACUGGCAAACUAGAGUGGCGGAGAGGAAAGCGGAACUCUUGGUGUAACGGUGGAAUGUGUAGAUAUCAAGAGGAACACCGGUGGCGAAGGCGGCUUUCCGGACGCACACUGACGCUCAGGCGCGAAAGCGUGGGUAGCAAACAGGAUUAGAUACCCUGGUAGUCCACGCCAUAAACGAUGGGUACUAGGUGUCGGGGGUAUCGACCCCUCCGGUGCCGCAGUUAACGCACUAAGUACCCCGCCUGGGGAUUAUGGUCGCAAGGCUGAAACUCAAAGGAAUUGACGGGGCCCCGCACAAGCGGUGGAGCAUGUGGUUUAAUUCGACGCAACGCGAAGAACCUUACCUGGGCUUGACAUGCUUGGGACAGCGCUGGAAACAGCGUCUCUCCUUCGGGAGCCCUUGCACAGGUGCUGCAUGGCUGUCGUCAGCUCGUGUCGUGAGAUGUUGGGUUAAGUCCCGCAACGAGCGCAACCCUCGUUACUAGUUGCCAUCAGUUCGGCUGGGCACUCUAGUGAGACUGCCGGUGAUAAACCGGAGGAAGGUGAGGAUGAUGUCAAGUCAUCAUGGCCCUUACGCCCAGGGCUACACACGUGCUACAAUGGUCGGCACAAAGGGUCGCUAAGCCGCGAGGUGGAGCUAAUCCCAAAAAGCCGGCCUCAGUUCGGAUUGGAGUCUGCAACCCGACUCCAUGAAGGCGGAAUCGCUAGUAAUCGCGGAUCAGCAUGCCGCGGUGA